UCGCUAUUGUGUCUACUCGAUGUUAUGCCGCGUUCAUGUGCUAGUCGUAACAAGGAAACUCGGACAUUUCGACUUGCUAACUGGUUGAACAUUUCCGAGUUUGCGACUUGCUCGAACUGGUUGUAGUUAUUCAUGAUACUGCAUUAGUUCCGACUAGAACGAGACGCGGAAUACCUCAAGAGUGGGCUACAGUGAUGAUGCGAUGCUGCGUAGGCUACGUGUGAGUGGGAUGCAAGUAGCUUGCCGCCGACAUUCUCGUUGCUGGGUGCACGCACUGUAGGCUACUGCGGUAAGGAUGCGUCUGCUGACUGGCUCGAAUAAGAUGAGCAAAGAGACUUACAGAAAAAUAUGAUUUUAUUUUUAAAGCAGCCUUUUGACUUCGAUGCAGGUAUAGGGGACCUUUUCCACCUUUAAAUGUAUGUAUAGUAGCCUAAAUAAACCCUCGUCGGUCGAUGCUCAUGGUGUCGUGUUCGUGGGAGACGCAUAAAAUGAUCCUACAGACAGACGCGAGUCAAAUACGACAAUUAUGAAAUGAAGGUUAACGUCAAGCAGACAACAUUCAACAGCAAUUAGAUGUCUGGCAACGUCUUGCUCGGAGAAUCUGAGUAUGAAAUGGUUGUUUAGGUAGACUGAAUUGGUUUACAUGCCUGACACCCAUUGAUAAAAGCUACGUAUCUGGAUGGAGAACACUGUUGACAGCACUGUCACUGAAUAUUACUCAGAAAUACACAGCGCGUCAUUACUUUGAGUGUCUAUUCUUCAUGCGUUGAAGCCUCCUUGUUAAGGUACAUAGACGUUUGAAGAUUGCACAUUGGCUAGUAUUUUUUUGAUACUAUCUUAAAUAAUCUGAAGGCUGCAACAAUGAUCCAGCAGAACAAUAACAACAACUACCCAUGCCUGGAGAUGUCUGGCUCCCCCAGGGAGGUGCUGCAGAAGUGCCAAAAAAGCAAUCUUUCCUUCACCAGACGCUUGGAGCUUGGGGACAUGCCCUUAGUCAAGGGCCUUCGGGCCUGGGCUGCGUGCUCCAAGAACCGCAGGAGGGCAGCACCUCCCCCCAGGUCCCAGGGAACGUGCCCCAGGCCUGCAGAUGUCUACCCAGUGGGACAGUGGGGCAGGCUGGGUUAUGGUCUGGGGCUACCGCUGGACUCCAACUAUGCCUCCAACCCCAGACAGACAGGCCUGGGGGCACUGGUGACUGUGGCCACGUUGAAGGCCUCUGAGGGAGGUGGUCAGACUCAGACAAGCUGUCUGUUCCUCAAGACGGAGGGUGGAAGGUGCCUCUACUCUACAGGCAGUCCAAGGCCCUGCACUCAAAGUCUGGUCCCUCAGUCCCCCUCCACGCUGGUGGGCAGCUGGCUGAGGGAUAAAGUGGGAGGGGUCAGGGACUCCUCCAUGGUGGGGAAAAUGGGGGUGCAGGAUAUGGGAGGGGCCUUGGGGUCAUACCAGGUCAAAUCGAGGUCAGCCCAGAGGUGGAGAACAUCCUGCAAGCCUGUGGUUUCCAUCCAGGGGAGAACACUCCGGAACAGGGAGAAUGCUGGCGAGCAUACCCUGGAAGGGAGCCAGGAAAGCAGGGACAAAGGAGAGUUUCCCAAAGCUGGUCAGGACACUCUGAGUGGAAAACAAGACCGAGGGAGUACUAGAAGCCCCAAAUGCAGUCACGCUCAGACCCUGACCUGCACCCAGUGUCACGGGCGGAGAGGAGGGCAGGGGAGCAGCGGGGGUCAGAGGGGAGCUGCCUCUGUAUGUGAGCAGGAUCAGUCGAGCUGCGGUGUGGAGGGGAUUAAGGAGAAGGAGGAGGGGAAAGUGCAGGAUGGCACUGGUCUCACCCGGUCAAAGCCCUGUGACUCCUCCCUGCCUCCAGACAAUGCUGACCCAGAAAACUGCAGCAGUGACGUCAGGGACCGGGGAAAGCCAGACAGCCCACGCGCACAGGAGGGGCUGCAUCCUGAAACUUCUUUCAACAAGGAGCACUUCCAGGACAAACUAUGGGACAAAGACAUACAUACUGGAGGCAACGAUGUGGCCAGUGGUAUCAUGAGUCAUGUGGAAGACUUUGAUGGCAUGGUGGGUGCUGUGAUUGGGUUUGUGGAUCAUAUCAAGUCUGCAGAGUGUGAUUCAGAGAGGCUAAGGGGAACCGGGGAGAUAGCUGAGGGGAAGCUGCCCAACAGGUGGAUCGAUAGUCAAACUUCAGAGAGCCACUGCUGCUCUGAGAGAAGCUGCCUCAAAGACUGCUCCACUCAACCACCCAGACCAGUUGAGGGCAGCAUUUCUACUGCUCCUGAUGAGACUGGCUAUGGUCAGAUAAAUCAGGAAACUAAAUCAGAUAGUCAAUACAAUAAGCUUUGUGAGAAAUGUCAGCCAGAAGAAAAAGAUCCUGUGGCAGUGGAUAAAGAAGGUUUACAAGAAUCUGUACAUGGCCUCUGUGAGGAAGAGGAGAUAGAGGGGGAGGAGGGGAUCCAGUCAACAGCACCAGAAAUUAGGGAGCUCUGUGGGGAGCAUGGAGAGAUACUGCCUGAGGUCAGGAGCACAGAUGAUGAGGCCAGGCUGGUAAAGGGAGACAUCAUAUCCCAGAGAACUGAGCGAGGGCCUCACUGGGCAACGGAGGAACAUGAGUGCGAGGAGACAUGUAAUAUGGAAGCGAGGUGUUUUUCAGAUUUACCAGCUAACCUAACUGAAGAGGCCGUAGUAAGGUGGAGGAAGGCAGGGACUAGGCAGUUUAAUUCCCGUUUACAAGGCUCUGCUGUUGCUGGCCCUGCUACCUCUGUCACACACUCGCCACCUAAUCUGGCCUCCUCAAGAGCCAUGGCAACAGGCCUCCCUGCUCCGAAUGGGGGGCAGACAGACGCUGGAGGUGGGUUUCUGGUGCCUCUGCUACGGAGCCCAGGGGAGCAGGAGUGGAAGAGGGGCCCGGACGAGAGCAAGGUGGCCUCCAACAGGGGGUUCCUGGAUGGGGGGCCAGAGGGGGAGGAUGACUUUGGGCUUUUCAUGCAGGCAGAGGAGCAGCUGCCCUGGUACGACAGCUUCACUGCAUCACCCCUAGUGUCUUCUGGGAAAAGUGAGAGUGUUGGUAAGUCCCCAGCCUACGGCACCUCAGAAAUGUGACAGGGGCUCUUUUUAAAGACAUCCAGACACGACACACACAUAACAGAAACUUCUUAUGACUAUCACAUCCUCCAGUUAGAUUAUGCAAAUGUGACAGAGGCAGCAGUAAACAGCAGAACAUGAAAAGGCUUUUGAAAACCACAAAGACAAGUGCUCUGAUGUGAACAGUAUCGGUAACUCUCUUUGUUGUGGUUUGCACCAUGCAGCAGCCAGGGCAUGUAGACACGUUGCUCCCAAUGCCCGAGUGGCACAGCGGUCUAAGGCACUGCGUCUCAGUGCCAGAGGCAUCACUACAGACCCUGGUUUGAUUCCAGGCUGUGUCACAACCGGCCGUGAUUGAGAGUCACAUAGGGCGGCGCAUAAUUGGCCCAGCGUCGUCCGGGUUUGGCUGGGGUAGGCCGCCAUUGUAAAUAAGAAUUUGUUCUUAACUAACUUGCCUAGUUAAAUAAAGUUGAAAUAAAAUAAACAGUUAUUCAUUCUGGUCUGACCUGGAUUCUUGAGGGCCCUCUCCUCUCCCAAACUCAUGUGAAGGUAGUGCUAGUGCUCUCUGCUUUGGGAUGUAAGGCGUGUGAGCCUCAGGACAUGGGGUUCCAUGUUUAAAGAGACAGAGACCCAGGCAGGCAGCUCUGCCGUGAUUGGGAGAGACCAUGCAGGGUGACAUCCAUCCCAACGUUCCAUCCCCAUGUAACCUCAAACAUCAUGCAAAGACAAAACUCCCCAUCAUUAGUGUCUAAUGGUAAUAACACAGGUCUAAUCAUUGUUGUUGUCACGAUUAUGUCAUAUGUCAGUUAAAGCAAUGGCACUUGCAAUGGCAGUGACAUUUAACCAAGUGUAUAAAUCAAAGUUACAAAAAUAGUUGUCAGAUUAUAGAAGGUAAAAAAAAAAAACUUUUAUUUGUUGCCCAUUCAGGCCAUUUGAAUGAGGACAGCAUGCAAAAUAGCCGCCUAUUUGGAGCAUACACCAGGUCCCUGCACUUUGAGGUCGACUCAGUGCAAGGCAUACAGAUCAUAUAGAAUCAAUAGAAUCUAGCUAGUGUCGUAAUGAUUCAUGUCUGAUGCCUUCCAUGCUGCACUUGAAAACCAUUCCAUCACCAACGAGUCUACCCAUUGGACCUCAGGUUGGACAGACAGCUCAUUCCAACAAUCAGAGGAUGCCUGGACAGCCUUUCCAAAGGAUAUAGCGGGAGAAAGGCAAGACACAAGAGAACAGUGGUGGCCCACAAAUGCUGUAGAGGAGACAAGGGGCAGAUUCUCUGCCACGCAAAAUGUGGUAGGCCUUUAAAUCUCUCCAUCUUUCCUCCGAAGUGACUACAAAAGACAAGGAGUCAAUUUAUUGCAUAUUCCUGUAAUCUCCAGGAGUACAUGGUCCAUGGGACUGACUGGAAAUGAUACAUACACAUUUGUUCUUCAUUUUUCAUUAUUUCCAUCUUUCAGAACAAAGUGUUUGUGGAGGCCUUCCCGUCUCUGUCUACUCCCCUGUAUGAUCGUGAUGCUGUUCCCACACUCAGCCAGCUCCUCAGAGGCGUCUUGGAUCAUGAAAGCUCUGCAGAAGAUCAUGGCUUACUCGAUGGGUUCCAUGACUUGAACAAGAUGUUUGGCUUGAAAUAUAAGAGGGCAAAUGCUGUUUCCCGUGAACGUCUUCUACAGUCGCUACAUUUGGGCCAGUGUAACACGGAAAAUAUGACUGGGCACCGAGCAGCCAACUACAGUCCCUCUCUUGGCCUCCCCUCGUCCAGUCAGCAUGCACAGGCCUGUGGGAAGAGACGUUUAUCGUAUGUCAACAAGAACAUCAUGGAAUAACCAAAAUGUCCACUUUCCCUGAACUUCAACAACACAUUUAGCCUUUUUCAUGCAUGUCCAUGCCAAACCACUAAUGGGACACAGUCUUCAUCUCCAUGGGGAGAAAUAACUAAACAUUUCACAAGAUUCAGAACUCGGAGGAUGCUCUCCUUGGGCCGACUGGACCACCUGACUAUAUGGUGAUCCUUAACAAUGCCCUGUUUUGCUUUGCCUUCGCUGGAGUUAGAUCACCGAUGCAUACCUGUGACAAAUUUGAUCAAAUUAAGCACUAAUUGUAAUUUUUGUCUCACAGAUAUUUUUAAAAUACAUGCAAAUGUUUAACAUUCUUAUAAAUCUUAUUCUUAUGGACUAUAGGAAAUGUUAAAGUAAUUAGUGUUUGCCCGGAGAAGUGGAUGUCUAUACCCCCCCCUUUGUUCACUCCCACCCUCUUUCUCACACACACACUGACAUGGACACAAACAACAAACAACAAACACACACUAUCCUCUCCCGUCACGUGAUCUGGCCCAAACGUGCCGGUGACAACUCUGGAGCAGAAUAUACUGUAGGUUUAGCAAACAUUGGAGCUCACAUGGAUCACAGCUCCUUUUCUUAUUAUCAUAGUAAAUAAUGACCAUGUUUUCUGAAAUGAUAUCCUUUAAAUUGGGGGUGUUUCUGGCUGUCAGAAUACAGUUGUUUUGUGCUGGCAAAGAGAAAAUGUGUUAUUUUACCAGUACACGUUUGUUUUAGAUCACAAAAAGCAGUCAAGUCCUAUUUAGAUUCUAUUUGUUUCUCUCUUGAUUGUUGUUUGUGGGUAACCCAGGGCAAAUCAGUAGGCCUACAGAAAAUGUAGUGAAUGUUUGUCAUUUGUACAUAAUAUGUAUUCUUCAAGAAAAAUGCAGAAUUGAGUUGUCCAAAUUGAUAAAACUACAUAGUCAACUUGUUAAUUGAUGUAAUAAAAUGAUACGUUGAUUACUGUUUUCC
This is a long non-coding RNA of Oncorhynchus tshawytscha (Chinook salmon), 5864 nucleotides long. The record is from Ensembl. Lineage: Eukaryota; Metazoa; Chordata; Actinopteri; Salmoniformes; Salmonidae.